GCUAAGAAUAUUCCGCAAUGGACGAAAGUCUGACGGAGCGACGCCGCGUGGAUGAUGAAGGCCGAAAGGUUGUAAAGUCCUUUUGCUGGGGAAGAAUAAGCGUGGGAGGGAAUGCCCGCGUGAUGACAUGAACCGGCGAAUAAGCCCCGGCUAACUACGUGCCAGCAGCCGCGGUAACACGUAGGGGGCAAGCGUUGUUCGGAAUUACUGGGCGUAAAGGGCAUGUAGGCGGCCUUGUAAGCUUCGCGUGAAAGUCCACGGCUUAACCGUGGGAUUGCGAUGAGAACUGCGAGGCUUGAGUGACGGAGAGGGAGCUAGAAUUCCUGGUGUAGGGGUGGAAUCUGUAGAGAUCAGGAAGAAUACCAAUGGCGAAGGCAAGCUCCUGGCCGAUGACUGACGCUGAGGUGCGAAAGUGUGGGGAUCAAACAGGAUUAGAAACCCGGGUAGUCC
Molecule: ribosomal RNA, 450 nt
Filed under: uncultured bacterium
Lineage: Bacteria
Description: partial 16S ribosomal RNA
Rfam family: Bacterial small subunit ribosomal RNA
Source: RNAcentral